This 301-nucleotide ribosomal RNA is filed under the name uncultured bacterium. Its description in RNAcentral is "partial 16S ribosomal RNA". It matches the Rfam family "Bacterial small subunit ribosomal RNA", at positions 509 to 807 of the family's 1533-position model. The record is from RNAcentral.
CAGUCGCCGCGGUAAUACGUAGGUGGCAAGCGUUAUCCGGAAUUAUUGGGCGUAAAGCGCGCGUAGGCGGUUUUUUAAGUCUGAUGUGAAAGCCCACGGCUCAACCGUGGAGGGUCAUUGGAAACUGGAAAACUUGAGUGCAGAAGAGGAAAGUGGAAUUCCAUGUGUAGCGGUGAAAUGCGCAGAGAUAUGGAGGAACACCAGUGGCGAAGGCGACUUUCUGGUCUGUAACUGACGCUGAUGUGCGAAAGCGUGGGGAUCAAACAGGAUUAGAUACCCCCGUAGUCCCUGUCUCUUAUAC